UUGGGGCACCAGGAUUUGAAAGAAGACCUUCUUGAGCUGCCAUCAUAAACUCUACCACUGAGCUAUACCCCA
RNAcentral lists this small RNA (72 nucleotides) under Cricetulus griseus (Chinese hamster). Its description in RNAcentral is "tRNA-Cys". The record is from RNAcentral. Lineage: Eukaryota; Metazoa; Chordata; Mammalia; Rodentia; Cricetidae.